RNAcentral lists this transfer RNA (72 nucleotides) under Blastocatellia bacterium. RNAcentral's name for it is "tRNA-OTHER". It matches the Rfam family "tRNA". Rfam says of the family: Transfer RNA (tRNA) molecules are approximately 80 nucleotides in length. Their secondary structure includes four short double-helical elements and three loops (D, anti-codon, and T loops). Lineage: Bacteria; Pseudomonadati; Acidobacteriota; Blastocatellia. The record is from RNAcentral.
GGCCGGGUAGCUCAGUUUAUAGAGCGCUGUAUUCGCAUGCAGAGGUCACGGGUGAGAAUCCCGUCCCGGUCA